CAACGCCCUCGACCUAUUCUC
RNAcentral lists this small nuclear RNA (21 nucleotides) under Arabidopsis thaliana (thale cress). Its description in RNAcentral is "snRNA_07491". The record is from RNAcentral. Lineage: Eukaryota; Viridiplantae; Streptophyta; Magnoliopsida; Brassicales; Brassicaceae.